CAGCAGCUGGACCUGUAGCAACAAAAGUGUCGGCAAGGACGGUGUACAUUCUGUGCCAGUAAUCAUUAAUAACUUGGAAGAACGGAUCAUGUUGUCUGUCGCUGUGUUGUGUGUGUUAGUCGCUGGCUGUUUCAGCUUCACCAGUGAGCACGCCAAGCUGGUGGCCAUGUUCCAUGAUAUGGACAUUAACCAUAAUGGACUCCUUACUCUUCACGAUAUCGGCGCCUUCUUACAGCACCUUGGACACGAUCCCCACAGUGAUAUAGAGAAGGAGGAGUUUAUGAAAAGCUGGAUGCAGAAGUACGGUGAUA
This is a long non-coding RNA of Liolophura sinensis, 311 nucleotides long. RefSeq lists it as uncharacterized. Lineage: Eukaryota; Metazoa; Mollusca; Polyplacophora; Chitonida; Chitonidae. The record is from RefSeq and is a predicted model, not a curated record. The transcript is spliced from 4 exons.